GCAUGCUACUAUUUUCUGCCGUGUUAGCAGAUCAUUUGCGAAUCAAAGUAAUAAGAAAGCAAACGCUACACUGGGAAUGUGAUGGUCAGCUGAGCUCGAGCUCCAUGUGUCGAGCAUUGAGGUGCAGUGCAGGAAUGGAUCCUCUGGGAGCACGCUCUCAGUUUGUGGAGGUCCAGACUCUGUCCACCUGGGAGCGGCAGCCGGACCCUGAGGGAGAGGAGGAGGAGUACAACGACAGCCUGGUCAGCCAGCAGGCCUUCCUAUCCCCCUUCCCCUACAGAGAGGACAUCAACAGGAAAAUAGUGCUCUAUAAUGGCGACGUUGCCCUGCUGAACUGCACAGCGAUCGUCAACACAAGUAAUGAGACUCUGACGGACAAGAACCCUAUCUCUGAGAGCAUCCACACAUACGCUGGGCCUGAACUUCGAGACGAGAUGCUCAAACUGAAAGGAUGUCGGACAGGCGAGGCAAAGAUGACCAAAGGCUUUAACCUGGCGGCGCGCUUUAUCAUCCACACGGUGGGCCCCAAGUACAAAACCAAGUACAGGACUGCUGCAGAGAACUCGCUGUACAACUGCUAUAGGAACGUCAUGCAGCUCGCCAGAGAGCAGGCUAUGGCGUCUGUGGCCGUCUGUGUGGUCAGCACAACUAAGAGAGGAUACCCACUGGAGGACGCUACACACAUUGCCUUCAGAACGGUCCGCAGGUUUCUGGAGAACUAUGGAGAGAGCAUAGAGACAGUGGUGUUCGCUGUGACAGACAUGGAGGAGCCCACAUACAGGAAGCUGCUGCCUCUCUACUACCCUCGUUCUGAGGAAGAGGAGCGUGCCAGCCUGCCCCUAAUCCCGGCUGACAUCGGGAACUCAGAAGGCGAGCCUGUAGUCCCAGAGAGACAGAUCCGCAUCGCCGAGAAACCAGGCUGUCUGGAAGUUGACUCUGAGGCGGAGACUCUGGACUCAGACCUGGGCCAGGUGGGGACUCAUGCGUUUUCCCGGAUGGAGGGAGACGUGGACAAACAGCGCAAACUAAUCCUGCAGGGCCAGCUGUCUGAUGCAACCAUGCAGAAACAGCACCAGAGAAAUUAUAACCGCUGGUUAUGUCGAGCCAGAGCAGAGGACUUGUCUGACAUAGCAGCACUGAAAGCCUUAUAUCAAACUGGCGUUGACAUGUGUGGCAGGACAGUGAUGGUUCUUGUAGGCAGAAAUAUUCCAGUCACCCUCAUCGACAUGGAAAAGGCCCUGCUGUACUUCAUCCAUGUCAUGGACCACAUCACAGUGAAGGAGUAUGUGAUGGUUUACUUUCACACACUGACCGGAGAACACAACCAUCUGGACUCUGAAUUCCUUAAGAAGCUUCAUGAGAUUGUAGACGCCAAGUUUAAGAAUAACUUGAGGGCUUUCUACUUUGUACACCCCUCUUUUCGCUCCAAGGUGUCCACCUGGUUCUUCACUACGUUCAGUGUGUCAGGGAUGAAGCAGAAGGUCCAUCAUGUAGAGACCCUCCAGCAGCUGUUCACUUGUAUCCUGCCUGAACAGAUAGACAUUCCUCCCUUUGUCUUGGAGUACGAUGCACGGGUGUGAACCAAUCAGAACUCCGACAGAGAGAGACUCAGAGGGUGUUUCUCAAAAUGCAUACUUCCAUAUUCCGAGCACGCAAAUAGGCGCACGGGAGGGUCGAAGUCCAAAUCAAAGUAUGCGAAACAGCGCACCGAGGGCACUCCUUGAAUGCACACUCCGUUUUGUACAUAUUUUGAAGUAUGCAUCGAUGCUAGCUUCAAUGGAAAGUAUGCAAGGAAAUAUGACGCAAGAACGUUAGAAAUGGAGAAUUUCCUGAAAUCAUUGGUGGCCAUUAUUUUAGCUGAAGCAGAGAAAAUACACUCCGACUAAGGCAUGAAAUGUUGCCUAUUCACAUCUCAAAUGUUUCCUGACUACAAUACUUUAUCAUUAUAUGUUAAUAUAUACAUGCUGUGUUAAUUUUGGCAUGUUUAACUGCCUACGUACCGUAGCACAUAAGUCAAUAGGGCUAACUGGCUAGCUACCACUGUUAGCCAGCCAGAUCGCUACGAAUAAUUUACAUCUUGCAAAAUAUUAUUUUUAGUUUAACAGGCAAAAAUGACCUAUCUGGUUAGCUACAUUUACGAUUCUCAUAUCUAGCUGAUAAUUAUGAAGUAAAUGUUUGCUUUGUGAAUAUCUUGUUUUGUCUUGUUGCCAUUGUGGCUGGAAGAAGGUUUAGUGACUGGGGAGGUUAAGCGUGAGGUAAUACAGUAGGGGGAGUGCGAGUGCUUCUCAGAUGUGAUGUUUUAUGCAUAGUCCACACUCUCGUCCUCACAAGAACGUACUCAGUGAGAGAGUGGAGCACGGUAGUAUGCAUAUUGAGAAACACCCUGAGACUCAUUCUGUGUUCAUAUCCAAGUGGGAAGGAGGUUUUUACCACAUACGACUGGGAAAAAUCCACUUGAACGCCCCUCCAACUGCAGUGUGAUGCAAUCAAAUGACAGACGGAUAGAAGGAUGGAUCUCUUUGUGACGAAGCCUGUGUGAACUCGCCAACCUAUCCCAGGACACUCCGCUGGCCUAUCUUAAAAACCUGCCCUCCUGUGUGCGUGAGAGUGAUAUCGCUCAUGUUAUGUUUCACAUUUUUUAUUUUUGCAAAACUUCACCGAGUGGUAGGUUUUGGAGGUUGUAUAUGUUCACAAGCUGUUUAAAUGUGAAUCUGUUUUUAGGUAAACGUACUGUAGUGUUUAAUGUGUUAAUGGCAGAGGUGUGUGUGUGUGUGUGUGUGUGUGUGUGUGUGUGUGUGUGUGUGUCACUUGAAACAAUGAAACCAUAAACACAGUUCUACUGCUUCUGUCAAAGAACAUUCAUUAAAUACCAUAGAAGUUAAUUGUUGAACUGAUUAAGAGCGUUUGAUAAAAUAUGAAAUACUAGCAUUCUUUUGAAAACACAGGCAGAUAGUUUGUUUCUGGAGUGUACUUAGCGCAGUACUGUGUGUAAGAAUGUUUUUUUUUCAUGAAGAACCAAACGGUUCCUAUUUUUCUUUACAUUGAAUUUAUACCAUGGGAUGCUGCAUCUUCCAAUCCCCAUUAUCACAGUUAAAGUUAUACGUCAGAUGUUAGGAUGCUGCACUAUUAUUGCAUUCCUAACUUUAAACAUCUUGUAUCUAGAAUUUAUUUUGCACAAAUCUCCUAGUGACGUCAAUGCAUGAUUUUGGAUUUCUGAAUACCAAAAUGAACUAAUGAUUGUGUUCACCAUGCGGUCAGUUUCUUCAUAAGUAUGUUUAAUUUUACCAUGUGGUCAGUUUCUUUAUAAGUAUGUUUAAUUUUACCAUGCGGUCAGUUUCUUCAUAAGUAUGUUUAAUUUUACCAUGUGGUCAGUUUCUUUAUAAGUAUGUUUAAUUUUACCAUGUGGUCAGUUUCUUUAUAAGUAUGUUUAAUUUUACCAUGUGGUCAGUUUCUUUAUAAGUAUGUUUAAUUUUACCAUGUGGUCAGUUUCUUUAUAAGUAUGUUUAAUUUUACCAUGUGGUCAGUUUCUUUAUAAGUAUGUUUAAUUUUACCAUGUGGUCAGUUUCUUUAUAAGUAUGUUUAAUUUUACCAUGUGGUCAGUUUCUUUAUAAGUAUGUUUAAUUUUACCAUGCGGUCAGUUUCUUUAUAAGUAUGUUUAACUUGAUUUCUCCUUUGUUACCUCCUCUAUUACGUUGUGAUUGUUUUCACUGUAUGCCAGCCUUGCUCUUCUGUCAAUUACCGCACAAGCUUUCCUGAGACAUGUAUCAGCUGUAGUUAGUGUUGUUUUAGUGGUCUAUUAGAGAGAAGAUGUAAUCAGAGAUUUGAGCUGCAUCCCAAUACAUUCCGUGCCAUGUUAAUGAUGUAGAGUUUUUCAUUUUGAGGUAAAGACAUGCAAAUAAACAGUCGUACCAUUCUGA
This is an RNA transcript of Salmo salar (Atlantic salmon), 3917 nucleotides long. It is a transcript of the gene named ganglioside-induced differentiation-associated protein 2, with no coding region annotated. Lineage: Eukaryota; Metazoa; Chordata; Actinopteri; Salmoniformes; Salmonidae. The record is from RefSeq and is a predicted model, not a curated record.